GUUCGUCUGAUAAUUUUGUUUAGAAUGGGAAAAAAAUAAGGUUAUAAGCAAACAUAUACAAUUAGUUUAAUGGAUACACAUUUGAAAAUGGUUUUGUCUCAUUGGUCCUUUCAAAUAACGAUCUUUACAAUGACCGGUUGCAUGUAAUGAACAAAUUUGGGUAUAAAAUCAACUUAUGAAAUCGAAGAAAAUCUUAAAU
Long non-coding RNA from Octopus sinensis (East Asian common octopus), 199 nucleotides. RefSeq lists it as uncharacterized. The transcript is spliced from 3 exons. Lineage: Eukaryota; Metazoa; Mollusca; Cephalopoda; Octopoda; Octopodidae. The record is from RefSeq and is a predicted model, not a curated record.